This 198-nucleotide microRNA precursor is filed under the name Triticum aestivum (bread wheat). RNAcentral describes it as "MIR1435 microRNA precursor family". It matches the Rfam family "MIR1435 microRNA precursor family". The record is from Rfam by way of RNAcentral. Lineage: Eukaryota; Viridiplantae; Streptophyta; Magnoliopsida; Poales; Poaceae.
AAGAUUUGGUCAAAGUCAAACUUUGUAAAAUUUGACCAACUUUAUAAAAAAAAUAUUAACAUCUACAAUACUAAAGCUAUAUGGUAUGAAAAAUUAUUUCAUGGUGCAUCUAACCAUACUGAUUUCAUAUUGUGAAUCUUGAUAUAUUUUUCUAUAAACUUAGUCAAAUUAACAAAGUUUGACUUUGACCAAACCUUA